UCAAACUUGGUCAUUUAGAGGAAGUAAAAGUCGUAACAAGGUUUCCGUAGGUGAACCUGCGGAAGGAUCAUUAAAGAAUUAAUGAGGGUUGAUGCUGGUGUUCAUUCACAUGUGCUCGCUCUCUUAAUCCAUUCACACCUGUGCACUUGUAUUUUGAAGAAGGCGAGGUUAUUUCUAAUGGAAUAGACUCUCUUCUUUGAAACUCUUACACAAACUCAUUUAAUAUCAAGAAUGUUUAUCUGCCGCAAGGCAAAAAUUAAUACAACUUUUAACAACGGAUCUCUUGGCUCUCGCAUCGAUGAAGAACGCAGC
This 312-nucleotide unclassified non-coding RNA is filed under the name uncultured fungus. RNAcentral describes it as "partial contains small subunit ribosomal RNA, internal transcribed spacer 1, and 5.8S ribosomal RNA". The stretch from base 1 to 73 matches the Rfam family "Eukaryotic small subunit ribosomal RNA", at positions 1759 to 1831 of the family's 1831-position model. The record is from RNAcentral. Lineage: Eukaryota; Fungi.